RNAcentral lists this ribosomal RNA (449 nucleotides) under uncultured bacterium. RNAcentral describes it as "partial 16S ribosomal RNA". It matches the Rfam family "Bacterial small subunit ribosomal RNA", at positions 29 to 523 of the family's 1533-position model. The record is from RNAcentral.
AACGAACGCUGGCGGCAGGCUUAACACAUGCAAGUCGAACGAGAUCUUCGGAUCUAGUGGCACACGGGUGAGGAACACGUGGGAACAUCCCUUUCAGUUCGGAAUAACGUUGGGAAACUAACGCUAAUACCGGAUACGUCCUUCGGGAGAAAGAUUUAUCGCUGAAAGAUUGGCCCGCGUCUGAUUAGCUAGUUGGUGAGGUAAUGGCUCACCAAGGCUACGAUCAGUAGCUGAUCUGAGAGGAUGAUCAGCCACAUUGGGACUGAGACACGGCCCAAACUCCUACGGGAGGCAGCAGUGGGGAAUAUUGGACAAUGGGCGCAAGCCUGAUCCAGCCAUGCCGCGUGAGUGAUGACGGCCUUCGGGUUGUAAAGAUCUUUCAGUGGGGAAGAUAAUGACUGUACCCACAGAAGAAGCCCCGGCUAACUCCGUGCCAGCCGCCGCCGUAA